GGGGAAUAUUGGACAAUGGGGGCAACCCUGAUCCAGCCAUGCCGCGUGUGUGAAGAAGGCCUUCAGGUUGUAAAGCACUUUAAGCGAGGAGGAAGGUCUUUGAACUAAUAUUUCAAAGAAUUGACGUUACUCGCAGAAUAAGCACCGGCUAACUCUGUGCCAGCAGCCGCGGUAAUACAGAGGGUGCAAGCGUUAAUCGGAAUUACUGGGCGUAAAGCGCGCGUAGGCGGUAUGUUAAGUCGGAUGUGAAAUCCCUGGGCUCAACCUAGGCAUUGCAUCCGAUACUGGCACACUAGAGUGUGGGAGAGGAAGGUAGAAUUCCAGGUGUAGCGGUGAAAUGCGUAGAGAUCUGGAGGAAUACCGAUGGCGAAGGCAGCCUUCUGGCCUAACACUGACGCUGAGGUGCGAAAGCAUGGGGAGCAAAC
RNAcentral lists this ribosomal RNA (425 nucleotides) under uncultured bacterium. Its description in RNAcentral is "bacterial SSU rRNA". It matches the Rfam family "Bacterial small subunit ribosomal RNA", at positions 356 to 773 of the family's 1533-position model. The record is from RNAcentral.